Molecule: long non-coding RNA, 1593 nt
Filed under: Equus caballus (horse)
Lineage: Eukaryota; Metazoa; Chordata; Mammalia; Perissodactyla; Equidae
Description: lncRNA (ENSECAG00000057623.1)
Source: RNAcentral
GAAAGUCCUUAGAAUUCUGAAAUUCUAACGAAUAUCUGCGGACCUGAAGGAAAACUGAGUUCACUCUAUCCGUGGGGCAAGAUCAUGAUUGAGAAAUGAGGAUCAAUAAAUGACUAAAAAAUCCUGUCUUUCAGUCGACCAUCUGUGCAGGGAGAGAACCACAGUGGGGUGCAGCAAUGUGUGCAGAAAGUCAGAGAGAGAAGGAGCGGUGAGAACACUGAACUCGAGAACAGCGCUGGCCUUUAGACAACAGCAUUCCGUGUCGACAGCACCCACGGGGUCAGUGUGAACCGUGUGUCUAUGCUGGAGUGGUAUCAAGAGUCUCCUGAUCUGAAUGGCUGUUAUUAAAAAGACAAGAAAUAACAAGUGUUGGAGAGGAUGUGGAGAAAAGGGAACCCUCAUACACUGCUGGUGGGAAUGUAAAUUGGUGCAGCCACUAUGGAAAACAGUAUGGAGAUUCCUCAAAAAAUUAAAAAUAGAAAUAUCAUAUAUUCCACACUCCUGGAUAUUUAUCUGAAGAACAUGAAAACACUAAUUUGAGAAGAUAUAUGCACCUCUAUGCUCAUCGCAGCAUUAUUCACAAUAGCCAAGACUUGGAAGCAACCUAAGUGGCCCAUCAAUGGAUGAAUGGCUAAACAAGAUGUGGUAUAUACAGUCACGCAUUGCUUAACCACAGGGAUACAUUCUGAGAAAUAAGUUAUUAGGCGAUUUCAUUGUGCAAACAUCACAGAAUGUGCUUACGCAAACCUAGAUGGUGUAGCCUACUACACACCUAGGCUGUAUGGUAAUCCCAUGGGACCACCGUCGUAUAUGCGGUCCAUUGUUGACUGAAACGUUGUAAUGCAGCUCAUGAUUGUAUAUACAAUGGAAUACUACUAGCCAUAAAGAGGUGAAAUUUUCCCACUUGCAACACCGUGGGUGGACCCUGAGGGUAUGAUGCUAAGCAAAAUAAGUCAGACAGAGAAAGACAAUUACACUAUGAUUUGACUCAUAUGUGGAAGAUAAACAAACAAACACAUAGAUAUGGGGAACAGAUUGGUGAUUACCAGAGGGAAAGGAGGUUGAGGGAGCGCCAAAGGGGUAAAGGGGCACAUGUGUGUGGUGAAGGAUGGCAACUAGACUUUUGGUGGGGAACGCGAUGCAGGCUGUACAAAAGUCAAAAUACAAUGAUGCACACCUGAAAUUUAUCUUAUAAACCAGUGUUGCCUCAACUAAAGAAAAACAAAAGAUUCUCCUGAUCUGAUGAAAGCGCUGUGGGUGUGUUCCCUCUGUAUCUGUUCUCUGGAAAAGUGUGUUCAAGAUUGGCACUAUUUCUAUCUUAAAUAUUCGGAAGAAUUCAAAGGAAGACACCAGGGCCAGAAGUUUGCUUUGUGAGAAAAAUCUUCUUGGUAUUUCUCGUUUUUUAUUUGAUGGCUGCUUUACAUAUUACACAGCGCACAGACAUUAAGUAUACAGCUUUAUGGCUUCUUAUAAACAUGUGUAUUGCCAACAUCCAAAUCAAUAUAUAGAAUUUCAGAAACACCUAGCAGCAUUGUUUUUUCUGCUUCCCAAUCAGCAACUCUCAACAGGUACCCACCCACCAUUCUAACCAAG